UGCCUUUGAUACAAUAUCUUCCCCUUAAAUGC
This 32-nucleotide non-coding RNA is filed under the name Homo sapiens (human). The record is from RNAcentral. Lineage: Eukaryota; Metazoa; Chordata; Mammalia; Primates; Hominidae.